UACGUAGGUGGCAAGCGUUGUCCGGAAUUACUGGGUGUAAAGGGAGUGUAGGCGGGACAUUAAGUCAGAUGUGAAAUAUACAGGCUCAACUUGUAGACUGCAUUUGAAACUGGUGUUCUUGAGUGAAGUAGAGGCAAGCGGAAUUCCUAGUGUAGCGGUGAAAUGCGUAGAUAUUAGGAGGAACACCAGUGGCGAAGGCGGCUUGCUGGGCUUUUACUGACGCUGAGGCUCGAAAGCGUGGGGAGCAAACAGG
RNAcentral lists this ribosomal RNA (253 nucleotides) under uncultured bacterium. Its description in RNAcentral is "partial 16S ribosomal RNA". It matches the Rfam family "Bacterial small subunit ribosomal RNA", at positions 524 to 776 of the family's 1533-position model. The record is from RNAcentral.